AGCGAGGUGGGGCAGCCAGGAGUGCCCGACGGGCUCAUAACCCGUAGGUCAGUGGUUCAAAUCCACUCCUCGCUA
Molecule: transfer RNA, 75 nt
Filed under: Methanobacteriota archaeon
Lineage: Archaea; Methanobacteriati; Methanobacteriota
Also listed under: 3 other names
Description: tRNA-Met
Rfam family: tRNA
About the family: Transfer RNA (tRNA) molecules are approximately 80 nucleotides in length. Their secondary structure includes four short double-helical elements and three loops (D, anti-codon, and T loops).
Source: RNAcentral